CUGUGUGUGAGAAAUACAAAUACCAGCCCGAGAUCUGCAUUUCAGAUUUGUUGCACACUCCCUGCUGUAGUCAAAAUCCCGAUGGAUUUCUUAUUUCUUGCCUUGUUUUCUUUCUGUAGAUCGAUGGCAGUGAAGCAGAAUGAGAACUAGUUCUGUUUUCUGGCGCAACUUUGAUGGCGAGACGGUGUUGUUUGUGGAUAAACCUCAGCCUGUAUCUUCAGGAAAGAGGCAGUCUUCCUGAUCCAUGUAUUGUUUCGGAUUCUCAGACUCAAGCGAUCACAGUUUUUUUGUACGGUAACUAAUCAGCUGGCUACCUUUUCUUCAACGUCUUUCAUUUACUUGACAAUCGAGUAGAACAGGGCCUGUUCUAAGUAGUGUACGUGCUCAACAUUCCGAAGAUUUUGACACUUUUUAUGCAGUGGCGCUUCUGUCACUGAUGGACAUUACAGCGAGGAGGCGAAAUGUUCGGUGCAGUUGAGUGGCGUUCUCUGAGAGGAGAGAAAGUGUUAACUGCAGCUACCUUAGGGAGCUAUUCUUAAAUGUAAUGAGCUCAUAACUUCUUUCAAGUUUGUUCGAUUAUACAUUCGUAAGUUUUGUACUUCUGCGUCGAGAAAGGAACCCUUAGAGGCGACUAAUUGAAGCUGAAAUGAAGACUUGUCAGGCUGGUUUUAAGAUUGGCCUGUCACCUACUUUGAUCAUUAGGCCGUGCGGUUGUUUUUCAGUAUUUUCUCUGUUGUUCUUUCUUUUUCAGGUUUUACAUUCUGUUCAUGAAAUCAUCCCGCCAGACAGUUCCUGCUCAGAGUGUAGUGGUAAUGACCAAAGGUGUGUUGAGGGUUGUGCGCCUAAUCUUGUUUAUUUGUUUAUUUGAUUUUUCUGAUUCUUCCAGCAGCUGAGAAGUUUUGGUAUUCAGAUGAGGACAUUGAGGUAGUGAAAACGUCAAGUGGACAGUCUAAAACUAUUACUUUGCUUAGACACUGAAAAAAGAAAUUCAUUCAAUUUACAAAGAAAUUGUAUACCGAAUUACUUAAUUUAACAAACAUCAAGACGUUUUUGAUGAA
Molecule: non-coding RNA, 1058 nt
Organism: Physcomitrium patens
Lineage: Eukaryota; Viridiplantae; Streptophyta; Bryopsida; Funariales; Funariaceae
Source: RefSeq, a predicted model, not a curated record